This 507-nucleotide ribosomal RNA is filed under the name Tripyla glomerans. Its description in RNAcentral is "eukaryotic LSU rRNA". It matches the Rfam family "Eukaryotic large subunit ribosomal RNA", at positions 655 to 1146 of the family's 3401-position model. Lineage: Eukaryota; Metazoa; Nematoda; Enoplea; Triplonchida; Tripylidae. The record is from RNAcentral.
UGAAACACGGACCAAGGAGUCUAACAUGUGCGCAAGUCAUGGGGUUGUAAACCCAAAGGCGUAAUGAAAGUAAAGGUCAAUUCGGUUGACCGAGGUGAGAUCCCCGCAAGGGGCGCAUCACUGUCCCAUCGCAUCUGCUUGUCAGAGCGGUGGAGAAAAAGCGUACACGCUGGGACCCGAAAGAUGGUGAACUAUGCCUGAGCAGGAUGAAGUCAUCGGAAACGGUGAUGGAGGUCCGUAGCGGUUCUGACGUGCAAAUCGAUCGUCAGACUUGGGUAUAGGGGCGAAAGACUAAUCGAACCAUCUAGUAGCUGGUUCCCUCCGAAGUUUCCCUCAGGAUAGCUGGCACUUAAACGCAGUUUUACCCGGUAAAGCGAAUGAUUAGAGGCCUUGGGGACGAAACGACCUCAACCUAUUCUCAAACUUUAAAUGGGUAAGAAGUCUCGCUUGCCUGACCGAAGCUCAGACAUUGAAUGCGAGUGCCAAGUGGGCCAUUUUUGGUAAGCA